CCCACCUGCUACUGAGAGACUGCACCUUGAUGUCAGUCACAACUGGCAAAGUCAUUUUCGUCAUUCUUUUCUACGCAAUGUACGUCAUGUGAGAACUUCUUCAAUUGAAACUGGGUUCCCUGGAAUUAUAUCUAGACCUUUGUCAAUGAGUUUAGAUUGGCCCCCAAUGGUUCGCAGUAUUAAUAGACUAGCUUCAUCGGUUUGUGAGAACUUCUUCAAUUGAAACUGGGUGCCCUGGAAUUAUAUCUAGACCCUUGUCAAUGAGUUUAGAUUGGCCCCCAAUGGUCCGCAGUAUCAAUAGACUAGCUCCAUCGGUUACAUGCAAUUAUGAUGCUGGGUUUAUCUCUAGACGAACUUCUUUCCAGCAGGAUAUAGCAGCCCAAAGCAUUCAC
RNAcentral lists this long non-coding RNA (392 nucleotides) under Nicotiana benthamiana. RNAcentral's name for it is "long non-coding RNA (NBEN_LNC018703)". Lineage: Eukaryota; Viridiplantae; Streptophyta; Magnoliopsida; Solanales; Solanaceae. The record is from RNAcentral.